RNAcentral lists this ribosomal RNA (496 nucleotides) under uncultured bacterium. Its description in RNAcentral is "bacterial SSU rRNA". It matches the Rfam family "Bacterial small subunit ribosomal RNA", at positions 29 to 518 of the family's 1533-position model. The record is from RNAcentral.
AUGAACGCUGGCGGCGUGCCUAACACAUGCAAGGUCGAACGGGGUUAAGUGAUGUUUUCGGAUGGAUCUUAACUUAGUGGCGGACGGGUGAGUAACGCGUGGAUAACCUGCCUCACACAGGGGGAUAGCAGCUGGAAACGGCUGGUAAUACCGCAUAAGACCACGGUGCCGCAUGGCACAGGGGUAAAAGAUUUAUCGGUGUGAGAUGGAUCCGCGUCUGAUUAGCCAGUUGGCGGGGUAACGGCCCACCAAAGCGACGAUCAGUAGCCGGCCUGAGAGGGUGAACGGCCACAUUGGGACUGAGACACGGCCCAAACUCCUACGGGAGGCAGCAGUGGGGAAUAUUGCACAAUGGGCGCAAGCCUGAUGCAGCAACGCCCGCGUGAGUGAAGAAGUAUUUCGGUAUGUAAAGCUCUAUCGGCAGGGAAGAAAGGCCCGCAAGGGAGAUGACGGUACCUGACUAAGAAGCCCCGGCUAACUACGUGCCAGCAGCAGC